RNAcentral lists this ribosomal RNA (433 nucleotides) under uncultured bacterium. RNAcentral's name for it is "partial 16S ribosomal RNA". It matches the Rfam family "Bacterial small subunit ribosomal RNA", at positions 29 to 507 of the family's 1533-position model. The record is from RNAcentral.
AACGAACGCUGGCGGCAUGCCUAACACAUGCAAGUCGAACGAGAACUUCGGGCCUCGUGGCGCUCGGCUGCGUAACGCCGGGGAAGUUGCCCUUAGGUUCGGAACAACUCCCUGAAGGGGGUGCUCAUACCGGAUAGUGUCUUAGGACCAAAGAUCUAUCGCCAUUGGAUGGGGGCGCGUUGGAUUCGCCAGUUGGUAGGGUAAGAGCCUAUCAAGGCGACGAUGCAUAGCUGGUCGGUGAGGAUGAUCAGCCACACUGGGGCUGAGACACAGGCCAGACUCCUACGCAAGGCAGCAGAGGGUAAUACUGGGCAAUGGGCUAUAGCCUGAUCCCGCAAUGCCGGGUAAGUGAUUAAGGCGGUAGGGAAGUAAAUCUCUUUUACCCGGGAUGUUAAUGACGGUACCGGGAGAAUAAGCACCGGCUAACUCCGUG